Etheostoma cragini (Arkansas darter) is the source of this 296-nucleotide long non-coding RNA. RefSeq lists it as uncharacterized. The transcript is spliced from 2 exons. The record is from RefSeq and is a predicted model, not a curated record. Lineage: Eukaryota; Metazoa; Chordata; Actinopteri; Perciformes; Percidae.
UAUUUCUAGUCAUUGUUUCAUUAUCUUUAUUGUGAAUAUUGCCACUGUUCAUCACACCCCCAACUGGCACCGUAAGACACCGCCUAGCAGGAGCCUCGGUCUGUCCCACGUUUCUUCCUAAAAGGGAGUUUUUCCUCACCAUUGUUACACUAAAUUCUUGCUCUUGGGCGAAUUACUAGAAUUGUUGGGUCUUGGUAAAUUAUAGAAUGUGCUCUAGACCUACUCUAUCUGUAAAUUCCCUUGAGAGAACUCUUGUUAUAAUUUGAAGCUAUAAAUACAAUUGAAUUGAAUUGAAU